CCCUACGUCUCGUAAGUAAUCGUCUAUUACUUCAUAUAUUUUCAUUUUUUUUUUGAAAACUCUUUCUAUCUAUAUUCAAAAAU
RNAcentral lists this transfer RNA (83 nucleotides) under Pleroma urvilleanum (princess flower). RNAcentral's name for it is "Tibouchina urvilleana (princess flower) tRNA-His". The record is from RNAcentral. Lineage: Eukaryota; Viridiplantae; Streptophyta; Magnoliopsida; Myrtales; Melastomataceae.